CGGAGCUGGGGCCGUCGCCCCAGCGAAGCCCUUCCGGCCCUGAGGGGAGGCCCAAGGCUACCUCCUCCCCGCCUCAGCUGCUCGAGGAAAGGCCUCCACCAUGAGAGCUCCCUGCUGCAAGGCCUCGCGUUUUGUUAACCUCCCUGUUUUUCCAGUGGGGCCGUCGCCCCAGCGAAGCCCUUCCGGCCCUGAGGGGAGGCCCAAGGCUACCUCCUCCCCGCCUCAGCUGCUCGAGGAAAGGCCUCCACCAUGAGAGCUCCCUGCUGCAAGGCCUCGCGUUUUGUUAACCUCCCUGUUUUUCCAGGCUGGGAGCAAGAAAGAAAGUCAGGUUCUGAGGGGGGAAAAGGAUUGGGGAGCUUUAGUGGAGAGCAGCUGCUCCUGCAAGCCAAAGACUGGCUCUGCCCAAGGGUCUCGGUUAACUCGGCUUUGCGGCCAGCACCUCGUUGUUUUGAAUCAGCUACAGAGUUUUUGAGAGAAGAGAUUAGCCUGCAGAAAUAUGAGCCCGGGCGAACGGUUACAGCCUGCCUUUAUCAAGGUUUUCCUGGUUGGACGCAAUUCCACCCUUCUUAA
This 570-nucleotide long non-coding RNA is filed under the name Struthio camelus australis. RNAcentral describes it as "lncRNA (ENSSCUG00000001909.1)". The record is from RNAcentral. Lineage: Eukaryota; Metazoa; Chordata; Aves; Struthioniformes; Struthionidae.